Molecule: long non-coding RNA, 300 nt
Filed under: Gossypium raimondii (Peruvian cotton)
Lineage: Eukaryota; Viridiplantae; Streptophyta; Magnoliopsida; Malvales; Malvaceae
Description: long non-coding RNA (GRAI_LNC004159)
Source: RNAcentral
AGAAGGGGAAAAAUAUCACUCAAGGGUGUGCUAAGGUAACAAUACCCUCCCAAUGUCUUUGCUGUAAGUUGGUUUUGUGUUCAACUUUGGAAAGAUGAAAUUUAUUAAUGGAUAAGGAGGCUGCCAAGGUAAAGAGCAGCACACCCUCGUAGGCUGCCAAAUGCCAAGAGUCAACAACAACAACAAAAAUGAACAAGGAAAAGGGACAAACAAAUAUCUCCACUGGAAUGAUGAUACCAUUACUCUUUUCUAGUAAUAUGGGAAAGACAAUAUAUACAUGUUAAACUACAUUUACAAUUC